AUUUUUUUCCCCCUCAUUUUGUUAUUUAUUUUUUGCUCUUUCUUUGAUAGGUGAGUUGUUUAGGGUUUUGGGCUGGGGUAGGGGUGUUAUGUAAGUGAGAUUAUACAAUCCCAAAUCCUUAAAUUUGGUAUUUUAUGCUGAUUGUAUUGUGCAUUUGCGAUGACAAAGGAAAAUUUUAAUCCUUUCUUUAGUUAAAAAAAAUUUACAUGUAUAAUUGAUUAAUCUUCCUGGCUAAAUGGCCAAAAGAAUCCAAACCUUUUAAUGUAUUUUCAAUUUAGCCAAUCCUUUAUCAUAUUGAGUCUAACCAUAUGACAUUGCUGAAGUUUUUGGCUAAUAUAGUGGUUAGUGAUUGAGAACUGGUAUGUAUGUUCAAAGCUCGCAUAUCUAUUUUAGUAGGCAAAUGAAAAUGAUUUAUGCUUCUUGCCAAAGUUGAU
RNAcentral lists this unclassified non-coding RNA (434 nucleotides) under Hevea brasiliensis (rubber tree). The record is from RNAcentral. Lineage: Eukaryota; Viridiplantae; Streptophyta; Magnoliopsida; Malpighiales; Euphorbiaceae.